CGGCGAGUGGCGAACGGGUGAGUAAUACAUCGGAACGUGCCCAAUCGUGGGGGAUAACGCAGCGAAAGCUGUGCUAAUACCGCAUACGAUCUACGGAUGAAAGCAGGGGAUCGCAAGACCUUGCGCGAAUGGAGCGGCCGAUGGCAGAUUAGGUAGUUGGUGAGGUAAAGGCUCACCAAGCCUUCGAUCUGUAGCUGGUCUGAGAGGACGACCAGCCACACUGGGACUGAGACACGGCCCAGACUCCUACGGGAGGCAGCAGUGGGGAAUUUUGGACAAUGGGCGAAAGCCUGAUCCAGCCAUGCCGCGUGCAGGAUGAAGGCCUUCGGGUUGUAAACUGCUUUUGUACGGAACGAAACGGCCUUUUCUAAUAAAGAGGGCUAAUGACGGUACCGUAAGAAUAAGCACCGGCUAACUACGUGCCAGCAGCCGCGGUAAUACGUAGGGUGCAAGCGUUAAUCGGAAUUACUGGGCGUAAAGCGUGCGCAGGCGGUUAUGUAAGACAGUUGUGAAAUCCCCGGGCUCAACCUGGGAACUGCAUCUGUGACUGCAUAGCUAGAGUACGGUAGAGGGGGAUGGAAUUCCGCGUGUAGCAAUGAAAUGCGUAGAUAUGCGGAGGAACACCGAUGGCGAAGGCAAUCCCCUGGACCUGUACUGACGCUCAUGCACGAAAGCGUGGGGGAGCAAACAGGAUUAGAUACCCUGGUAGUCCACGCCCUAAACGAUGUCAACUGGGUUGUUGGGUCUUCACUGACUCAAUAACGAAGCUAACGCGUGAAGUUGACCGCCUGGGGAGUAC
This 799-nucleotide ribosomal RNA is filed under the name Variovorax paradoxus. Its description in RNAcentral is "bacterial SSU rRNA". It matches the Rfam family "Bacterial small subunit ribosomal RNA", at positions 89 to 883 of the family's 1533-position model. The record is from RNAcentral. Lineage: Bacteria; Pseudomonadati; Pseudomonadota; Betaproteobacteria; Burkholderiales; Comamonadaceae.